Molecule: long non-coding RNA, 1041 nt
Filed under: Physcomitrium patens
Lineage: Eukaryota; Viridiplantae; Streptophyta; Bryopsida; Funariales; Funariaceae
Description: long non-coding RNA (PPAT_LNC011829)
Source: RNAcentral
CAUAUGAUUGGUUUCAAGGAUCACUCAUACUUCUCUUCAUUGGAUUUGCCAGGCCAUGGGAGCCCUGCAUGAUGAGACAAAAUCCAUUGAAACCCCCCCUUGUCAUCUUUUUUUCUAUCUCUGAAGAACAGAAAGCUUGACCUCGUUUACAGCAAAAACAAAGGUCAGGUUGGUGCAGAGUCACAGUCUAGUCCGCAGAGCUCACAAGAGUGACACGCAGAUUAAUGGCAGACAAGCCUUGUGGUGGGCUAGCAAACCCCUUUGCCUAGCUUCUCAACACUGAAUGCUACCACACAUGAAGUCUGUGUAUAAUAUGGCCUGUGCAGUAGGGCAUGCAUGUCCAGUUAUGUGGUGGUCUUGGUGGCUGUGCUUCUAAUGGUGUGAGCUUCUAUCCUUCUUCAGCCAAGCCCUGGCUCUGCAUGCUGAAGAGCAGCCAAUUCAAUGGCAAAGACUUGAUUUUUUCAACAUGGAUUUGCUUGAUGAAAACCAGGGUUAGCAAGACUGUUUUCAGGGUUUGUCUUGUGUGAUUGUUGUGAUUGCUGUGUGCUUGUGUGUUCUGCUGUAUGCAUUCAUGAAUCAAAUGAAAAAUUGUGAGGAUUGAACUGGCUAGGGAACGAUUAAUUGCAGACAAACAGAAGCAAGUGGGCCUCCAGGAAAAAAGCUCCAAUGGGGGGAAAAAAACUCUAAUGGGACACUUUGGUUGUCAAUCUCUGAAGACUGUAGAUGUGCAUGAGACUCUGAUUCCAUGGUUUUGGUUGGAAUCCACUAUCCAACAAAAAAUGUUAUUGGUGUUGUGAUUUGUUGGAGGACAAAAGAAAGUGAUAGAAAAUGAAAGGAAGAAAAAGGAGAAAGAAUAAGAUGGAAGGAAAAGAGAGGUGGUCAUUAGAGUAUUCUCUUGUGAUUCUUGUUGUUAGUGAUGACUUGCUUUCUUCAUUUUUGUCAUUCAAAAAGGAAACAAUAAAACUCUAAGGUGGGUGUUUUUUUUAGACAUGCGUUUAUAUAUACAUAAAUACAUAUCUUUGGAUCUCGAUUUUCCUUUUA